This is a long non-coding RNA of Cotesia glomerata, 519 nucleotides long. RefSeq lists it as uncharacterized. Lineage: Eukaryota; Metazoa; Arthropoda; Insecta; Hymenoptera; Braconidae. The transcript is spliced from 3 exons. The record is from RefSeq and is a predicted model, not a curated record.
UUUGAAAAAAUCACAAUUGAUUUAAAUCAUUCAAGUGUGUUCAUUCACUUACAAUAAACAAGAAUCUAAAUAACAUAGGCGAGAAAUCUGUAAAUUCCAAUAACAGAACACGCAGAACAGUUGUUGUAUUGGAUAAAAAUGUAUUAUGGAAGGGUGGUAUUAUUCCUUAUGAAUUUUCCUAUUUCAUUUCUGGAAAACAACGGAGAAUAAUUAGAAAGUCGAUGAGGGAGUGGGAGAAAUCAACAUGUGUCCAAUUCGUCCCAAUUAAUCGGCAGGUUUACCAAAAAUAUUUACUGUUCACUAAAAGCGAAUCAUGCAAAUGUUGUUUUGUCGACCAUGGGCCGGAAAUUUUAUAUCAAACUAUAAACUUAGUGGACCAAUGCUACCAUAGAAAUAUUCUUCUCCACGAAUUGGGACAUGUUAUUGGAUUCCUUCAUGAGCAUAAUCAUCCGGAGCGUGAUCAACACAUCAGUGUCAAUUUUUCUAUCGUCGAAAAUGGUAAAAUAAAUUAAAAUUAAA